RNAcentral lists this ribosomal RNA (373 nucleotides) under uncultured organism. Its description in RNAcentral is "partial 16S ribosomal RNA". It matches the Rfam family "Bacterial small subunit ribosomal RNA", at positions 527 to 896 of the family's 1533-position model. The record is from RNAcentral.
GUAGGUGGCAAGCGUUGUCCGGAAUUAUUGGGCGUAAAGCGCGCGCAGGCGGUUCUUUAAGUCUGAUGUGAAAGCCCACGGCUCAACCGUGGAGGGUCAUUGGAAACUGGAGAACUUGAGUACAGAAGAGGAAAGCGGAAUUCCACGUGUAGCGGUGAAAUGCGUAGAGAUGUGGAGGAACACCAGUGGCGAAGGCGGCUUUCUGGUCUGUAACUGACGCUGAGGCGCGAAAGCGUGGGGAGCAAACAGGGAUUAGAUGCCCUGGUAGUCCACGCCGUAAACGAUGAGUGCUAAGUGUUAGGGGGUUUCCGCCCCCCUUAGUGCUGCAGCUAACGCAUUAAGCACUCCGCCUGGGAGUACGGCCGCAAGGCUG